CCCCGGGUAGCUCAGUUGGUUAAGCAUCUGACUUCAGCUCAGAUCAUGAUCUCGCAGUUUGUGGGUUCAAGCCCCAUCCCAUGUU
RNAcentral lists this transfer RNA (85 nucleotides) under Felis catus (domestic cat). It matches the Rfam family "tRNA". From Rfam's summary of the family: Transfer RNA (tRNA) molecules are approximately 80 nucleotides in length. Their secondary structure includes four short double-helical elements and three loops (D, anti-codon, and T loops). Lineage: Eukaryota; Metazoa; Chordata; Mammalia; Carnivora; Felidae. The record is from Rfam by way of RNAcentral. RNAcentral also lists the same sequence under 4 other names.